Molecule: ribosomal RNA, 996 nt
Filed under: uncultured organism
Description: SSU rRNA
Rfam family: Bacterial small subunit ribosomal RNA
Source: RNAcentral
UCAACAAGGAAGUGACGGCUAACUACGUGCCAGCAGCCGCGGUAAAACGUAGGUCACAAGCGUUGUCCGGAAUUACUGGGUGUAAAGGGAGCGCAGGCGGGAAGACAAGUUGGAAGUGAAAUCUAUGGGCUCAACCCAUAAACUGCUUUCAAAACUGUUUUUCUUGAGUAGUGCAGAGGUAGGCGGAAUUCCCGGUGUAGCGGUGGAAUGCGUAGAUAUCGGGAGGAACACCAGUGGCGAAGGCGGCCUACUGGGCACCAACUGACGCUGAGGCUCGAAAGUGUGGGUAGCAAACAGGAUUAGAUACCCUGGUAGUCCACACCGUAAACGAUGAUUACUAGGUGUUGGAGGAUUGACCCCUUCAGUGCCGCAGUUAACACAAUAAGUAAUCCACCUGGGGAGUACGACCGCAAGGUUGAAACUCAAAGGAACUGACGGGGGCCCGCACAAGCAGUGGAGUAUGUGGUUUAAUUCGACGCAACGCGAAGAACCUUACCAAGUCUUGACAUCCUGCGACGGACAUAGAAAUAUGUUUUUCCUUCGGGACGCAGAGACAGGUGGUGCAUGGUUGUCGUCAGCUCGUGUCGUGAGAUGUUGGGUUAAGUCCCGCAACGAGCGCAACCCUUACUGUCAGUUACUACGCAAGAGGACUCUGGCAGGACUGCCGUUGACAAAACGGAGGAAGGUGGGGAUGACGUCAAAUCAUCAUGCCCUUUAUGACUUGGGCUACACACGUACUACAAUGGCGUUAAACAAAGAGAAGCAAGACCGCGAGGUGGAGCAAAACUCAGAAACAACGUCCCAGUUCGGACUGCAGGCUGCAACUCGCCUGCACGAAGUCGGAAUUGCUAGUAAUCGUGGAUCAGCAUGCCACGGUGAAUACGUUCCCGGGCCUUGUACACACCGCCCGUCACACCAUGAGAGCCGGGGGGACCCGAAGUCGGUAGUCUAACCGCAAGGAGGACGCCGCCGAAGGUAAAACUGGUGAUUGGGGUG